UAAUUCAAAAGCAUCAAUUCUUCGGCGAUCAGCCUUCUUUAUGGUCCAGCUCUCACUUCCAUAAAGAAGACUGAUCUCUGAAGAAUUGAUGCUUUUGAAUUA
Podarcis lilfordi (Lilford's wall lizard) is the source of this 102-nucleotide non-coding RNA. The record is from the annotation of a GenBank genome assembly. Lineage: Eukaryota; Metazoa; Chordata; Lepidosauria; Squamata; Lacertidae.